RNAcentral lists this ribosomal RNA (358 nucleotides) under Pseudomonas sp. Its description in RNAcentral is "bacterial SSU rRNA". It matches the Rfam family "Bacterial small subunit ribosomal RNA", at positions 38 to 392 of the family's 1533-position model. The record is from RNAcentral. Lineage: Bacteria; Pseudomonadati; Pseudomonadota; Gammaproteobacteria; Pseudomonadales; Pseudomonadaceae.
GGGCCAGGCGGCAAGCUACACAUGCAAGUCGAGCGGCAGCACGGGUACUUGUACCUGGUGGCGAGCGGCGGACGGGUGAGUAAUACCUAGGAAUCUGCCUGGUAGUGGGGGAUAACGUUCGGAAACGGACGCUAAUACCGCAUACGUCCUACGGGAGAAAGCAGGGGACCUUCGGGCCUUGCGCUAUCAGAUGAGCCUAGGUCGGAUUAGCUUGUUGGUGAGGUAAUGGCUCACCAAGGCUACGAUCCGUAACUGGUCUGAGAGGAUGAUCAGUCACACUGGAACUGAGACUCGGUCCCGACUCCUACGGGAGGCAGCAGUGGGGAAUAUUGGUCAUUGGGCGAACACCCUAUCUAGC